This 436-nucleotide ribosomal RNA is filed under the name uncultured bacterium. RNAcentral describes it as "bacterial SSU rRNA". It matches the Rfam family "Bacterial small subunit ribosomal RNA", at positions 1001 to 1434 of the family's 1533-position model. The record is from RNAcentral.
CCGAAAGGCAGGAGUGCCUGCAAGGGAGCGCGGAGACAGGUGGUGCAUGGCUGUCGUCAGCUCGUGUCGUGAGAUGUUGGGUUAAGUCCCGCAACGAGCGCAACCCUCACCUCUUGUUGCCAUCAGGUCAUGCUGGGCACUCUAGAGGAACUGCCCCGGUCAACGGGGAGGAAGGCGGGGAUGACGUCAAGUCAUCAUGCCCCUUACGUCCUGGGCUACACACGUGCUACAAUGGCCGGUACAAAGGGAUGCCACACCGCGAGGUAGAGCUAAACCCAAAAAGCCGGUCUAAGUUCGGAUUGGAGUCUGCAACUCGACUCCAUGAAGGAGGAAUCGCUAGUAAUCGCGUAUCAGCACGACGCGGUGAAUACGUUCCCGGGCCUUGUACACACCGCCCGUCACACCACGAAAGCCAGCUGUACUCGAAGUCGCUGAG